AGUCCGUCGCAGGACGCCCAAACCACAGGCCGGACACAGAUGAAGCCAGACCACAGCCCCCGCCCCAGCCACCGCGACUUGAAGGCACUCUGCGGCCACCAAGAGACCACUCCGCAUCCUAGGUCGAGCCUGUGGGAGAAGCACUCGGGGCCCGGGAGGCCGAGGUGGGAAUGCCUGCUCUUGGGAUAAGUGCCGCUACAUUUGUUGGGCGGCUUUGUCAGUUUAGAAAGCUUGUCCCUGCACUCUGACAGUUUCUGCUUGCAGGGCCGGGUGCCGAGGCGAGAUAGCCAGCUUCCCUGUUUCUUAGAAUAUUUCCGUAAACCAGACUGCAUCCGAGCAGCCGGGUGGUGGUACGGCUGGUAGCAGAAGGUGCAGAUGGUGCCAGGUUUGGAAACACACCCCACUGCAUAUUAUUCCACUUCACGAGUACUAAGGAGGAGUCCAGAAUUGGUGGCCGUCCUCCCUCUUGUUUUCUCAUGCAAAUAACUCAACACUCUAAUCGUAAAUCAAAGCUCCAGGGCCUACUUUUGCGAGGGGCACUGGAGAAAGAAGAGAGGGUUGCGCGCGCGCGUGCGGGAGCUUCGGAAGCUAAAUCUCACUCGCGGGGAGGAUGGGACGCGUGGGGACUGAAGGCGGCAUCUGCCUGAAUAAAGCCCUCGCGCGCUCUGAGCCUCCCACUCUGUCCUGGAGGCCUGAACCUCGCGAGUAGAGCCUGGCGCUUUUCCUCCCCGGGAGCACGACGGAUAGAAUGCGCGGGGUCGAGACGGUGUCGGUAGCGGGGGCCGCAGCGCUUUGCAAAGCCGGCCUCUGCCCCCGGCCUCCUUGGAGGGCGGUAGCGGGACCUGCGCUCGCAGCCUCUCCCCAGGGCUGUGCGCUUCGGCCUGGCGGCUGCCGGGCAAAAACCUCAUUUAUUUCCUUCCUUCCCGAGUGAGCUCACUUCCUCCCCGCGCCGCUCCCUUCCGUCGGCCGGAACCCGCUCCUGGGCCGCGCGGCUGCAGCCGGGAGCGCGGACUCGGGGUGUCGGGCGGUGUCCGCGCCCCUCCCCACCCCAGGGCCCUUCUCGGGGGAGAUAUCCAGGAGCUGAAAGAGAUUCCUCAGGAGGAAGUGGAAACCUCUGAAAGGAGAGGAAACCGACUCUUUUGCAAGAAAACUGAGCGCCGGCUGGAAGGCCUAAGGAAAGCAGCCGAUGGCUCCCAAGACAACUCUGUCCGGCCAGUACUCCAGGGCAACUUCAACCCCACUAGGACCCAGGCCAAAACCAUAUAUAUAUAUAUAUAUAUAUAAAUUAACGCAAAACAGAGCCACUUUGGUGCCUACCCCUCCACAAGUAGGUAGGCACAUCCAGGUAGCUCUGUCAGAAGAUGGGACCUGGCGCCUUGCAGGGGUAGCCCUAUGGAGAUCCAGAAGCCCCGUUUCGAGCUACGAAGUCUCUCUUCUACUGCAGUCUUCUCUCCAACGUGGAGAUCUAGCAACUUCCCUCCCCCUGGGAUUCCCUGUGAAUCCACUCUAGUUGGGAUAUAGCCUCUCUACAGCUCAGUGACGUAGCGCGCCAAAACCAAGUACCCACCCCGGCAACUGGAAGACCUAGCUGUCCUCCAUCCCGCCUCCGCAGUCGAUAAUCUCCAGGAUCCAAGCAAAGUGCCUGUCCACGUUGUCACCAGAUCCACAAGCGCUUUUGAUGAGAGCUGCUACCCUUUUGGAAACACGAUUCCCUCUCCCUAGUAGAGAAGAAUCUAUUCUUCUGGGCUGGCGUAGACAAAGAAUAACCAAGAUAAAGUAUGUGGUGUGAAAAUAUCAGCUGCCUCUUCUUUUUUUGUUUUUGAAACGGAGUCUCGCUCUGUCUCCUAGGGUGGAGUGCAGUGGCACUAUCUCUGCUCACUGCAACUUCCGCCUCCUGGAUUCAAGCGAUUCUCCUACCUCAGCCUCUGGAGUAGCUGGGACUAUAGGCGCCCGCCACCACGCCCGGCUAAUUUUUUGUAUAUUUAGUAGAGACGGGGUGGGGGGGUGUUUCACCAUGUUGGCCAGGCUGGUCACGAACUCCUGACCUCAAAUGAUCGGCCCACCUCGACCUCCCAAAGUGCUGGGAUUACAGGCGUGAGCCACCGCGCGCCGGGUGGAAAACAUUAGCUUCUAAUAGCAGUCUUGGAGUGGAGUGAAGACGUUCAGGAAGUGGUGGAGAUAGGCCUGCUCAAUUAACCGGCCCCAGAUAUCAUUUCUCUGGCUACCUCUUUUCUCGCCUGGCCUGGCCCUCUAUACCGUUUUUUGUUUGUUUGUUUUGUUUUGUUUUUUUUCUGCAAAACGUUUUCUGCUGCAACUUUCUCUUUAUUUAUGCCUUUAUCUUUCUUAAACAAGAGGUCCCUGGAAAUAACUAACUAAGGAGGGGAGAGGAACCCCCUCACCCCCAAUUUCAUGAAUGAGUGCUACAUUCAUGCUGGCCGGGUACCAAGAGCAUCUUUAGAUCUUUAGACCUGAGUCUUCUCAUCUGUGAAAAAGAGGUUAAAGCAGAUGAACCCUAAAGGCCCAUUUCCAGUCUUAAAUUCAACACUUUCAAGACAAAACUUUUCUUCUGUAUUCCUGAGUGUGUAUAUAUAUGUUAUGUAAUAUAUAUUAUAAUGUAUAUAUAUAAA
This 2627-nucleotide long non-coding RNA is filed under the name Homo sapiens (human). RNAcentral's name for it is "novel transcript". The record is from RNAcentral. Lineage: Eukaryota; Metazoa; Chordata; Mammalia; Primates; Hominidae.